Molecule: non-coding RNA, 72 nt
Organism: Delphinapterus leucas (beluga whale)
Lineage: Eukaryota; Metazoa; Chordata; Mammalia; Artiodactyla; Monodontidae
Source: the annotation of a RefSeq genome assembly
UCCCCGGUGGUCCAGUGGUUAGGACUCUGCGCUUCCACUGCAGAGGCCCAGGUUCAGUCCCUGGUGGGGGAA